UACGUAGGGCGCAAGCGUUGUCCGGAAUUAUUGGGCGUAAAGAGCUCGUAGGCGGUUUGUCGCGUCUGUCGUGAAAGUUUGGGGCUUAACCCCAAGUCUGCGGUGGAUACGGGCAGACUAGAGGCAGGUAGGGGAGAACGGAAUUCCCGGUGUAGCGGUGAAAUGCGCAGAUAUCGGGAGGAACACCGGUGGCGAAGGCGGUUCUCUGGGCCUGUACUGACGCUGAGGAGCGAAAGCGUGGGGAGCGAACAGG
RNAcentral lists this ribosomal RNA (253 nucleotides) under uncultured bacterium. RNAcentral describes it as "partial 16S ribosomal RNA". It matches the Rfam family "Bacterial small subunit ribosomal RNA", at positions 524 to 776 of the family's 1533-position model. The record is from RNAcentral.